RNAcentral lists this ribosomal RNA (493 nucleotides) under uncultured bacterium. RNAcentral's name for it is "bacterial SSU rRNA". It matches the Rfam family "Bacterial small subunit ribosomal RNA", at positions 903 to 1397 of the family's 1533-position model. The record is from RNAcentral.
AAAUGAAUAGACGGGGGCCCGCACAAGCAGUGGAGUAUGUGGUUUAAUUCGAAGCAACGCGAAGAACCUUACCAGGGCUUGACAUAUAAAUGAAUUAGUGGGAAACCACUAAGCUUUUCGGAGCAUUUAUACAGGUGGUGCAUGGUUGUCGUCAGCUCGUGUCGUGAGAUGUUGGGUUAAGUCCCGCAACGAGCGCAACCCCUGUGGUUAGUUGCCAGCACGUAAUGGUGGGAACUCUAAUCAGACUGCCGGUGAAAAAUCGGAGGAAGGUGGGGACGACGUCAAAUCAUCAUGCCCUUUAUGUCCUGGGCAACACACGUACUACAAUGGUCGUAACAGAGAGAAACGAAGCAGCGAUGCAGAGAGAAACUCAAAAAGCGACCUCAGUUCGGAUUGCAGGCUGAAAUUCGCCUGCAUGAAGUUGGAAUUGCUAGUAAUGGCAGGUCAGCAUACUGCCGUGAAUACGUUCCCGGGCCUUGUACACACCGCCCGU